RNAcentral lists this ribosomal RNA (899 nucleotides) under uncultured marine bacterium. RNAcentral describes it as "bacterial SSU rRNA". It matches the Rfam family "Bacterial small subunit ribosomal RNA", at positions 57 to 1004 of the family's 1533-position model. The record is from RNAcentral.
GCAAGUCGAACGAAGUAGCAAUACUUAGUGGCAGACGGGUGAGUAAUAUGUAGGUAUCUACCCUUUGGUGAGGAAUAACACGAGGAAACUUGUGCUAAUACCUCAUAAGUCUUUACGGAGAAAGCUUUAUGCGCCGAAGGAUGAGCCUGCACUUGAUUAGUUUGUUGGUGGGGUAAUGGCCUACCAAGACUUUGAUCUAUAGCUGAUCUGAGAGGAUGAUCAGCCACAUUGGGACUGAGACACGGCCCAAACUCCUACGGGAGGCAGCAGUAGGGAAUAUUGCACAAUGGAGGAAACUCUGAUGCAGCGAUGCCGCGUGAGUGAAGUAGGCCUUUGGGUUGUAAAGCUCUUUCGUCGGGGAAGAAAAUGACUGUACCCGAAUAAGAAGGUCCGGCUAACUUCGUGCCAGCAGCCGCGGUAAUACGAAGGGACCUAGCGUAGUUCGGAAUUACUGGGCUUAAAGAGUUCGUAGGUGGUUAAAAAAGUUGGUGGUGAAAUCCCAGAGCUUAACUCUGGAACUGCCAUCAAAACUUUUUAGCUAGAGUAUGAUAGAGGAAAGCAGAAUUUCUAGUGUAGAGGUGAAAUUCGUAGAUAUUAGAAAGAAUACCAAUUGCGAAGGCAGCUUUCUGGAUCAUUACUGACGCUGAGGAACGAAAGCAUGGGUAGCGAAGAGGAUUAGGUACCCUCGUAGUCCAUGCCGUAAACGAUGUGUGUUAGACGUUGGAAAUUUAUUUUCAGUGUCGCAGCGAAAGCGUUAAACACACCGCCUGGGGAGUACGACCGCAAGGUUAAAACUCAAAUGAAUUGACGGGGACCCGCACAAGUAGUGGAGCAUGUGGUUUAAUUCGAAGAUACGCGCAGAACCUUACCAACACUUGACAUGUUCGUCGCGACUCUAA